Molecule: ribosomal RNA, 611 nt
Filed under: Sphingomonas sp.
Lineage: Bacteria; Pseudomonadati; Pseudomonadota; Alphaproteobacteria; Sphingomonadales; Sphingomonadaceae
Description: bacterial SSU rRNA
Rfam family: Bacterial small subunit ribosomal RNA
Source: RNAcentral
AGUGGCGCACGGGUGCGUAACGCGUGGGAAUCUACCCUAGGGUUCGGAAUAACAGUGAGAAAUUACUGCUAAUACCGGAUGAUGUCGCAAGACCAAAGAUUUAUCGCCCAAGGAUGAGCCCGCGUAGGAUUAGCUAGUUGGUGAGGUAAAAGCUCACCAAGGCGACGAUCCUUAGCUGGUCUGAGAGGAUGAUCAGCCACACUGGGACUGAGACACGGCCCAGACUCCUACGGGAGGCAGCAGUGGGGAAUAUUGGACAAUGGGCGAAAGCCUGAUCCAGCAAUGCCGCGUGAGUGAUGAAGGCCUUAGGGUUGUAAAGCUCUUUUACCCGGGAUGAUAAUGACAGUACCGGGAGAAUAAGCCCCGGCUAACUCCGUGCCAGCAGCCGCGGUAAUACGGAGGGGGCUAGCGUUAUUCGGAAUUACUGGGCGUAAAGCGUACGUAGGCGGCUUUGUAAGUUAGAGGUGAAAGCCUGGAGCUCAACUCCAGAACUGCCUUUAAGACUGCAUCGCUUGAAUCCAGGAGAGGUGAGUGGAAUUCCGAGUGUAGAGGUGAAAUUCGUAGAUAUUCGGAAGAACACCAGUGGCGAAGGCGGCUCACUGGACUGGUAU